This 253-nucleotide ribosomal RNA is filed under the name uncultured bacterium. RNAcentral's name for it is "partial 16S ribosomal RNA". It matches the Rfam family "Bacterial small subunit ribosomal RNA", at positions 524 to 776 of the family's 1533-position model. The record is from RNAcentral.
UACGGAGGGUGCGAGCGUUAAUCGGAAUUACUGGGCGUAAAGCGCGCGUAGGCGGUUGCUUAAGCCAGGUGUGAAAGCCCCGUGCUUAACCUGGGCAUUGCAUUUCGAACUGGGCAGCUAGAGUUCUGGAGAGGAGAGGGGAAUUCCCGGUGUAGCGGUGAAAUGCGUAGAGAUCGGGAGGAACAUCAGUGGCGAAGGCGGCGCUCUGGCCAGAAACUGACGCUGAGGUGCGAAAGCGUGUGGAGCAAACAGG